AGAGUUUGAUCAUGGCUCAGAUUGAACGCUGGCGGCAGGCCUAACACAUGCAAGUCGAACGGUAACAGGAUUAGCUUGCUAAUCGCUGACGAGUGGCGGACGGGUGAGUAAUGCUUGGGAACUUGCCUUUGCGAGGGGGAUAACACUUGGAAACGACUGCUAAUACCGCAUAAUGUCUACUGACCAAACGGGGCUUCGGCUCCGGCGCAAAGAGAGGCCCAAGUGAGAUUAGCUAGUUGGUAAGGUAAAGGCUUACCAAGGCAACGAUCUCUAGCUGUUCUGAGAGGAAGAUCAGCCACACUGGAACUGAGACACGGUCCAGACUCCUACGGGAGGCAGCAGUGGGGAAUAUUGCACAAUGGGGGAAACCCUGAUGCAUCCAUGCCGCGUGUGUGAAGAAGCCUUCGGGUUGU
This 413-nucleotide ribosomal RNA is filed under the name uncultured gamma proteobacterium SUR-ATT-25. Its description in RNAcentral is "bacterial SSU rRNA". It matches the Rfam family "Bacterial small subunit ribosomal RNA", at positions 8 to 426 of the family's 1533-position model. The record is from RNAcentral. Lineage: Bacteria; Pseudomonadati; Pseudomonadota; Gammaproteobacteria.